This 404-nucleotide ribosomal RNA is filed under the name uncultured bacterium. RNAcentral describes it as "bacterial SSU rRNA". It matches the Rfam family "Bacterial small subunit ribosomal RNA", at positions 355 to 776 of the family's 1533-position model. The record is from RNAcentral.
UAGGGAAUUUUCCGCAAUGGGCGAAAGCCUGACGGAGCAACGCCGCGUGAGGGAAGAAGGUCUUCGGAUCGUAAACCUUUGUCAUCGAGGACGAUAAUGACGGUACUCGAGGAGGAAGCCCCGGCUAACUACGUGCCAGCAGCCGCGGUAACACGUAGGGGGCGAGCGUUGUCCGGAAUUACUGGGCGUAAAGGGCGCGUAGGCGGCCUAAUAAGUCAGAUGUGAAACCCCCGGGCUUAACCCUGGGCUUGCAUUUGAAACUGUUGGGCUUGAGGACAGGAGAGGAAAGCGGAAUUCCCAGUGUAGCGGUGAAAUGCGUAGAUAUUGGGAGGAACACCAGUGGCGAAGGCGGCUUUCUGGACUGUAACUGACGCUGAGGCGCGAAAGCCAGGGUAGCGAACGGG